Long non-coding RNA from Mesocricetus auratus (golden hamster), 684 nucleotides. RefSeq lists it as uncharacterized. The record is from RefSeq and is a predicted model, not a curated record. The transcript has 4 exons. NCBI's taxonomy places the organism in Eukaryota, Metazoa, Chordata, Mammalia, Rodentia, Cricetidae.
AUGAGGGAGCCAUAAAAAGUGCUGGUGUCUGGAAGCAGGGGCACACCAGGGCUCCGGGGAUCCCAGGAGAUCACUGUCAUAAAAACGACAAGACGAGUUAUGUUGCAACCCCCCCUCCCGCACCCCCGGACCUCUGCCCCUGAACUCAGCGUAUCUAUCUCGGGAUCAGGGAAAGGUGGCUCUCCUGCCUGUCCCUGCCUGUUUGCAAGUUCCUGGUGGGUGAAGACUAUCCCAAAGGAAUAGAUGAACUAUCUGGAUACAAUUUCCCCUGACGACAAAGGAAGUGAUCCAGGCAAGCAGAGCAGAGCAAAGUUCAGGAGGCAGGAGGCAGCUGGAAGAGAGAAACCAGAGAAAAGAAAAACAAAACAAAACAAACAAAAAAACAAAACAAAACAAAAAACCUCAGAACAUGAUGGCAGGCAGCCUGGAACCUUGUUGAAAGGAAACAUGCAGGCCAUGGGACUGAUGUAUCCAGUACACAAUGGCCAUGCGGUCCUCCUAAGCCUGACGUCUUCCUGGAGGAUGCCCAACGACACAGCAGCACAGCACCUAUUCUCCCUCCUCUACCAAGUGAGAGACCUCUCUAGACAACAGCAGGGCAAAGGUAAUCUGCCAAAAUGCACCCAGGACCAGUGGUUCAGGGUGUUUUCGAGUCACCUAAAGGCUUGCUAAAAUAGAGGUACC